GACGAACGCUGGCGGCGUGCCUAAUACAUGCAAGUAGAACGCUGAAGGAGGAGCUUGCUUCUCCGGAUGAGUUGCGAACGGGUGAGUAACGCGUAGGUAACCUGCCUGGUAGCGGGGGAUAACUAUUGGAAACGAUAGCUAAUACCGCAUAACAGUAGAUGUUGCAUGACAUUUGCUUAAAAGGUGCAAUUGCAUCACUACCAGAUGGACCUGCGUUGUAUUAGCUAGUUGGUGAGGUAACGGCUCACCAAGGCGACGAUACAUAGCCGACCUGAGAGGGGGAUCGGCCACACGGGGACUGAGACACGGCCCAGACUCCUACGGGAGGCAGCAGUAGGGAAUCUUCGGCAAUGGACGGAAGUCUGACCGAGCAACGCCGCGGGGGUGAAGAAGGUUUUCGGAUCGUAAAGCUCUGUUGUAAGGGAAGAACGGGUGUGGGAGUGGAAAGUUCACACUGUGACGGUAUUUUACCAGAAAGGGACGGCUAACUACGG
Molecule: ribosomal RNA, 494 nt
Filed under: uncultured bacterium
Lineage: Bacteria
Description: partial 16S ribosomal RNA
Rfam family: Bacterial small subunit ribosomal RNA
Source: RNAcentral